Molecule: unclassified non-coding RNA, 144 nt
Filed under: uncultured Dermateaceae
Lineage: Eukaryota; Fungi; Ascomycota; Leotiomycetes; Helotiales; Dermateaceae
Description: sequence contains ITS2
Source: RNAcentral
CAACCCUCAAGCUCUGCUUGGUCUUGGGCGUCACCGGUCUCGGUGUGCCCUAAAAUCAGUGGCGGCGCCGCCUGGCUCCAAGCGUAGUAAUGCUCUCGCUAUGGACGCCUGGCGGCUGCUUGCCAGCAACCCCUAAUUUAUCAA